This is a small nuclear RNA of Zalophus californianus (California sea lion), 146 nucleotides long. Its record names the gene U4. It matches the Rfam family "U4 spliceosomal RNA". From Rfam's summary of the family: U4 small nuclear RNA (U4 snRNA) is a component of the major U2-dependent spliceosome. The structure of U4 snRNA from yeast and human has been reported. U4 snRNA presents a k-turn RNA motif in the 5p-SL related to recognition of Snu13 protein. Lineage: Eukaryota; Metazoa; Chordata; Mammalia; Carnivora; Otariidae. The record is from Ensembl.
AGCUUUGCGCAGUGGGAGUAUCGUAGCCAAUGAGGUUUAUCUGAGGCACGAUUAUUGCUAAUUGAAAACUUCUCAUUUAAGAUUACAUUUUGGAAACCAUUUCCUAUCAGUUCAUUAAGUAAUUCAUUUUUUUAUAAUGGCCUCAU